UGAUUAUAAACUAAUGUAUAAUUUACCAGAGUACUAUGAACACACAGUUUAAAACUCAAAGGGCUUGGCGGUGCUUUAGACUAUUCAGGGGAACCUGUCUCGUAAUCGAUAGUCCACGAUACACCUAACCUUUUUUAGUUAUCAGUAUGUAUACCGUCGUCGUCAGGUAACUUUUAAAAAUAAAGAAGUUAGCGAUAAAAAUUAUGAUGAUUUUGUACGUCAGAUCAAGGUGCAGCUUAUAAAAAGGUGAGGAUGGGUUACAAUUAAGAUUUAUAAUAACGGAAAAAAGCUUGAUACAGCUUUUAAUG
Molecule: ribosomal RNA, 308 nt
Filed under: Alviniconcha kojimai
Lineage: Eukaryota; Metazoa; Mollusca; Gastropoda; Provannidae
Description: partial small subunit ribosomal RNA
Rfam family: Bacterial small subunit ribosomal RNA
Source: RNAcentral